GGCUACUCCACGCAAAUGUGACUGCAGCUAGUUGCCAAAUCGCAAACGUUUCAUAUAUCAGAUGAGGACGUGGCUGCAGCCAGUGGUGAGGCCGAAGCCAGCACAUCUACUGCCAGCACUAACGACCAUAUAUGGCCUUAUUUAAAAAUUUUAAUUUGUUUAAAAGUUAUUUAAAAGUUUUCGUUUGUUGGUGUACAGAAUGACUCUUAUAAGAUGCAGGGUCUGCUUUCUUUGACACGAAUCACCAAAAUAAGUGCCUUUAAGAAUUCAACGUCAAAUUUGAAGCAACACAUUGAGGAAGCAAGCGCGGGCGGUUCUAAAACAGGAAGGCGAGGAUCAGGCUGAAGGUGAAUACGGAAGACAGAAGAAGGUCAGGUGAUCGGGCGAACAGUCAACACUGGGCAAGGCAGGUAAUCGUGGUCGAGACACAAAGUACAAGAUCCGAGAACCAGGUAAAUCCAAAACAAGUACCGAGGCACGACAGAGACGAGAAUUCUGAACGUUUACUUCGCGAGCUAGUACUGUGCGAACUUCCACUUAAAUACUGUGUUUGUGAGUGUGUGUGUCUGUGAUUGAGUGCAGGUGUCCGCAAUCAGAAUUCCGGAGAAUGUGAGAAUGUGUGUGUCUGGGAAGUGUAGUAAUUGUCGGCCAUGUUUGUAGUUCGCGCUGCACUCUGGGAACUGUAGUUGAGAGUUCGCCGCGAUGUGACAGAGCCCCCUCCAGGAGGGCUCACUCCGGGAACCAAAUCCCUUUGAGGCCUCCCUCUCCUCUGCAGUCCUGGUUUUGCUAGGUGAGCGGCAUGAAAGUCCCUACACAGACUUGGGUCCAGAAUGUCCUGGGACAGGGAUCCAGCACUGCUCCUCUGGGCCAUAUCCUCCCCAGUCCACCAUGUACUCUAGUUUACCUCUCCGAUGCCUGGAAUUUAGGAUUGUCCGGACGCGGUAGGCUGGUUGGCCGUCGAUUUCUAACGGCUCUGGUGGGGAGUCACCUGGCACCGCCGUGGAUAAUGGACCCAGUAUAAUUGGUUUAAGGAGAGAGACAUGGAAUGACGGGGUGAUGCUGCUAUGCUUGGGCAAUUCCAGCCCGUACAUGACCUUAUUAAUUUGUUCCUUGAUUCGGAAGGGGCCGAUAUACCUGGGGUUAAGUUUCCUGCCCGGGAGUGUCUGUUUCAGGUCUUUCGUGGAGAGCCACACUCUGUCCCUGGGUUGGUAGUUGGGAUGGUCCCUCCGGUGAUGAUCCACCUUUCGUUUGGCUGUGCGUGAGGCCUGCACUAGAUGUUGGUGUGUGCGUUCCCAAACCUGCUCACUCCGGUGGAACCACUCAUCAACCACAGGCAAGUCAGUAGGGUUGGCGUUCCAGGGGAAUAAAGGUGGCUGGUAGCCCAAGACACACUGAAAGGGGGUGAGCAGUGUUGCCGAGUGUCGCAAGGAGUUCUGUGCAUACUCUGCCCAUGGGAGGAAUUGGCCCCAAUCCCCCGGGUUCGGGGCACAAAAGGUUUGGAGGAAUCUAGUUAACUUCUUGGUUUGCCCGCUCUACCUGUCCAUUAGCCUGGGGGUGUUAACCUGAGGUGAGGCUAAUGGUGACACCUAUCUUCUCCAUGAAGCUGUCCCAGACUCUUGAUGUGAGUUGUGGACCCCUAUCACUCACGAUCUCUUCCGGGAUCCCGAAGUACCGGAACACAUGUUAGAACAGCAGCUCAGCUCAUCGAUCACUAGGAUUGUGGUGUUCCCCUGCGACUCUAGCAAGUCGGUGAUGAAGUCUAGGGCCAGGUGAGGCCAUGGGCAUGCCGGGAUGGGAAAGGGCUUAAGCUUACCAGCUGGAAGUGUACGCGGUACCUUAGCCUGGGCAUUUAGAGCAUGAGGACACUAUUAAUUGUACCUCCCUAGACAUAUUGGGCCACCAGUAUUUCUCGGCCAAUAAUCGGUAGGUAGAAGAACAGUGAACAGCGGGCCUGGCGAGGCAUGAGAUGUUUGGCUGUCCUCAGAUACUCAAGGUUCUUAUGGUCGGUAUAGAUAACAAACGGGUGCAUGGCACCCUCCAGCCAGUGCCUCCACUCCUCCAGCGGAACUCCACAUAAUAAUUGUGUUCUGGUGAAGAUAACUUGUUGGAGAAGAACACCACGGAGUGCAGCUUGGGCUUAUCUCUGAGCCUCUGUGAGAGAAAGGCCCCUACCCCUGUUUCCAAGGCAUCAACCUCCACAACGAAGGGUCUGGAGGGAUCAGGGUGCCUGAGGAUGGGGCCGUGGUGACGGCCCUCUUGAGCUUGUCCAGUGCCUCCUGGUCGACUGGGGUCCAAACGAGUCACCUUGGCUUGCCACGUAGGAGGGACGUCAGGGGGUGUGCUAUGAUACUGAAACCUCGAAUGAACUGUUGGUAAAAAAAAAAGUUUGGGGUGUGGGCCAUUCUACCACCGCUUGAACCUUCCGUUGGUCCAUGGUGACCCCCUUCUGACUGAUGACAUAUCCCAGGAAGGAGAUUGUGUGUUGGUGGAAUUCACACUUCUCGGCCUUUACGUAAAGCUGGUGUUGCAGGAGGCGGCGCAACACCUGCCGUAUGUGGCCAAUAUGCUCCUUUAGGGGCACAGAAUACACCAGGAUGUCAUUGAUGUAUGUAAUGACGCUCUUCCCCAACAUAUCUCUA
This is a long non-coding RNA of Ictalurus punctatus (channel catfish), 2639 nucleotides long. NCBI's taxonomy places the organism in Eukaryota, Metazoa, Chordata, Actinopteri, Siluriformes, Ictaluridae. The record is from Ensembl.